RNAcentral lists this unclassified non-coding RNA (412 nucleotides) under soil metagenome. Its description in RNAcentral is "partial contains 5.8S ribosomal RNA, internal transcribed spacer 2, and large subunit ribosomal RNA". The stretch from base 1 to 122 matches the Rfam family "5.8S ribosomal RNA", at positions 35 to 154 of the family's 154-position model. The record is from RNAcentral.
GAUGAAGAACGUAGCGAAAUGCGAUACUUGGUGUGAAUUGCAGAAUCCCGUGAACCAUCGAGUCUUUGAACGCAAGUUGCGCCCGAAGCCGUCAGGCCGAGGGCACGCCUGCCUGGGCGUCACACGCCGUUGCCCCCCCGCGCCCCGCACCCAACUCUUUGGGAGCGACCGCGGGGCGGGCUGAUGAUGGCCUCCCGUGCGCUCCGCCGCGCGGUUGGCCCAAAUACCGAGUCCCCGGCGACGUGCGCCACGACGAUCGGUGGUUGAGAGACCUCUGUCGCAAGUCGUGCGCGCCCGUCGCGUCACGCGGGCUCGCAUAGCGCCUCGCGCCGCACCCGGUGCGGAGCUUUCAACGCGACCCCAGGUCAGGCGGGGUUACCCGCUGAAUUUCAGCAUAUCAAUAAGCGGAGGA